Molecule: microRNA, 24 nt
Filed under: Oryza sativa (Asian cultivated rice)
Lineage: Eukaryota; Viridiplantae; Streptophyta; Magnoliopsida; Poales; Poaceae
Description: osa-miR5155
Source: miRBase by way of RNAcentral
ACUUUAAUACCAUUGGAAGAUUGC